CUCUCAGCCUUUUGUGAGGUGUAAUUUCCACAUGUUUGAACAGAGCAUGAUCUAGCACCAUCCAUCCAGAGUCCUCCCUCACUUCUCCAAACCAGGCUCCACCUCCCUCUCUCCCUCCCUCUCUCUCCCUCCCUCUCUUUGAGCCUCUCCUACUCCAGAUGAGCGUGUCUCUCCAACAGGGCGAGCAGAUUGGAACCUGAAGGUGUGCCGUUGUUACCAGAUUUCUGUUAAAGGAAGAUUGGACGAAACCACUGAAGAAGCCAGCCGAUUGAACACUGCUGAGAGUGGAGGAAGUGUUUAAAGAGGACCUGCGGUGUCGAGUUAAAGGUGAGUCAAUGCUCAGUCCUACCCAAUAAAAGACAACUCACAGAGGAUGCAGCUCAUUCCACUUCUAAGUGUAGGUUUUUGUGUUUAAAAUGUGGUCA
Molecule: long non-coding RNA, 425 nt
Filed under: Takifugu rubripes (torafugu)
Lineage: Eukaryota; Metazoa; Chordata; Actinopteri; Tetraodontiformes; Tetraodontidae
Description: lncRNA (ENSTRUG00000029699.1)
Source: RNAcentral